GAAAACUUAAGGUAGCUAUGCUUUAUUAAAUUGCAAUUCCAAAACAUGUACCACAAGAGAAUCCAGUCAACACGCUCAAACUUGUUCGCCCGUGCCAGCUACUCAAUUUAUUCAAUUACUAAAUUUAUUCUAUCCUAAUGUAUUUAGAAGGAUCAACCGCAUGAGUUGCAGUUGCAGGCGUCGAUCACCAUGUUGCAUUCGACGUCAGGCUGGCCGACAUAGCUACAUUCAACGUGAUAGCAGCACUGCAUAUUUGAACAG
This 261-nucleotide long non-coding RNA is filed under the name Phoenix dactylifera (date palm). Its description in RNAcentral is "long non-coding RNA (PDAC_LNC015173)". The record is from RNAcentral. Lineage: Eukaryota; Viridiplantae; Streptophyta; Magnoliopsida; Arecales; Arecaceae.